GCCGUCUUAGUAUAGUGGUAGUACAUGGCAUUGUGGCUGCUAAAACCCAGGCUCGAAUCCUGGAGGGGGCA
This 71-nucleotide transfer RNA is filed under the name Paramecium tetraurelia. RNAcentral describes it as "tRNA-His for anticodon GUG". It matches the Rfam family "tRNA". From Rfam's summary of the family: Transfer RNA (tRNA) molecules are approximately 80 nucleotides in length. Their secondary structure includes four short double-helical elements and three loops (D, anti-codon, and T loops). The record is from Rfam by way of RNAcentral. Lineage: Eukaryota; Ciliophora; Oligohymenophorea; Peniculida; Parameciidae.